AUACGGAGGGUGCAAGCGUUACUCGGAAUCACUGGGCGUAAAGCGCGCGCAGGCGGCUUGAUAAGUUGGAUGUGAAAGCCUACGGCUCAACCGUAGAACUGCAUCCAAAACUGUCAGGCUAGAGUGUGCGAGAGGAAGAUGGAAUUAGUUGUGUAGGGGUAAAAUCCGUAGAGAUAACUAGGAAUACCAAAAGCGAAGGCAAUCUUCUGGAACACUACUGACGCUGAGGCGCGAAGGCGUGGGGAGCAAACAGGAUUAGAAACCCCAGUAGUCC
This 274-nucleotide ribosomal RNA is filed under the name uncultured bacterium. RNAcentral describes it as "partial 16S ribosomal RNA". It matches the Rfam family "Bacterial small subunit ribosomal RNA", at positions 523 to 796 of the family's 1533-position model. The record is from RNAcentral.